GCAGUUCCGUCCACAGAUACAGCCCUUCCAUUUGAUACGAAUGCAUACUUAGUAUAGAUCUGAUGCUUGCGAGUACUUCGGAUGAGUACUCACGGUUGCUUUGCUCCCCCUUUCCCCCUUCUUUCUUCUUUCUGGUUGUUGCAACCAGAUGGUGGAUCCCAGGAGCCAGAUGAUGCCACCCCCGGUGACUACUACUACAUGGAGGCCGCCGAAGACCAGGAGUAGUUAGGAGGUCCCAGGCAGGAGGCCUUGCCUCUUCGAUCGUGUUGAUUUCGUGCUAGCCUUUUUAACGCAUCCUUGUUUAACUUAUGUCUGUACUCAAAUAUUGUUGCUUCCGCUGACUCUUGUGUAUCGAGCUUUUGUAUUCGAGCCCUCGAGGCCCUUGGCUUGUAAUACAAACCUUGUAUCACUUUUAUUUGUGUUUAGAGUUGUGUUGUGAUAUCUUCCCGUGAGUCCCUGAUCUUGAUUAGUGUACGAUUGAAUCGGGGGCGUCACAGCCGUGUCCCCGGUUAUGGACAUCUUGAGUAUCUGGUUCUUGGAUUAUCAUGUUGAUCUCAUCACGUUACUUAAAUAAUUUGUUGGGUUGAUGAUUAUUAAUUUGGGAUUGAGUUGGAGGAACCUUCUCAAUGUUUUUAACAAUCUUUGUAGUUAAAUAAAAUAUAUUCCUUUGUUGUAGGGAAAAACUAGCUUUAUGCAAAAAUAAACUUAGAGCUUUCCACCAGCCAAAUAUGCAUGUAGUGAUAGCUUUUAUUCAUCAUUCACUACUGGAAUCAGCUACUUUGCCAUCUGCCAGCUCUUUGCGUCAGCUAGCAGACGGCAAAGAAGCUCUUUACCAUUAGCUACCCGAAAGCAGAAGGCAAAGAAAGCCUUUGCCAUCAGCAUGUUCUUUGCCAUCCGCUAGCAGACGGCAAAGAAUCUUUGCCGUCCGCUAGCAGACGGCAAACAGGGAGGGGGGCCCCACUGAGGAGCUGGUUAAAAAAUACUUAACGGCACCCCUCUUUGCCGUCCGCAAGAGCACAUUAGCGGACGGCAAAGGUGGCGGGCGACAAAGAUUAAACAUAUCUAACGGCGCGCCCCCACCCCGCCCCUCUCUCUUUGUUUCUCUCCCCUGCUCCCACACACGCGCCGCCGCCCCCACCACCCGCCGCCGCCCGGUCGCACCACCGCCCCGCCNNNNNNNNNNNNNNNNNNNNNNNNNNNNNNNNNNNNNNNNNNNNNNNNNNNNNNNNNNNNNNNNNNNNNNNNNNNNNNNNNNNNNNNNNNNNNNNNNNNNNNNNNNNNNNNNNNNNNNNNNNNNNNNNNNNNNNNNNNNNNNNNNNNNNNNNNNNNNNNNNNNNNNNNNNNNNNNNNNNNNNNNNNNNNNNNNNNNNNNNNNNNNNNNNNNNNNNNNNNNNNNNNNNNNNNNNNNNNNNNNNNNNNNNNNNNNNNNNNNNNNNNNNNNNNNNNNNNNNNNNNNNNNNNNNNNNNNNNNNNNNNNNNNNNNNNNNNNNNNNNNNNNNNNNNNNNNNNNNNNNNNNNNNNNNNNNNNNNNNNNNNNNNNNNNNNNNNNNNNNNNNNNNNNNNNNNNNNNNNNNNNNNNNNNNNNNNNNNNNNNNNNNNNNNNNNNNNNNNNNNNNNNNNNNNNNNNNNNNNNNNNNNNNNNNNNNNNNNNNNNNNNNNNNNNNNNNCGCCUCCCUACCGUCUCGGCGCCGCCGUGCCCCGGCCCCCUGGCGCCCCGGCUCCCCCCGCGCCCCACUGCCACUGCCCUGGUGCUCUCGGCGUGGCCUGGUCAACGUGGUCAAUGAACGACAUCCAUCGGAAGUGGACUGUACGUGGAGAGGCUGACAGCUGGGUCCACGGCCGCACGCAAGGAAAUGCCUCCUUAUUACGCGCAAAAUAAUGAUUCCUCCACCUGACAGCUAGGACCCACAGGAAGGGCCUCUGUAUUUUGCGAAAAAACAUUCCCCCCGCUGACAAGUCGGACCCACCAGCUAUAUCUUCGCACGCAAGGAAGUGCCUCCUUAUUACGCCCAAAAAAAUGAAUACCCCCUGCUAGCUGGGACCCACCAUAUUGUUGGGCUGACUUGUGGGCCUACUAAGUUGAAGGGGACGGAGGGCUUUGUCAACUUAGUCAAUACUCUAGUGACCGUAUGAUGUCCAUCCAAUGGGCAUAGUGCUUCCUCAACCUCUGGUCUUCUUGCUCCAGCCGUCCAAAGCAGCUCCGGUCGUGCCGCCUGCUCCUGCCUAUCGUGGCCGGCUGUGCUACCGCCUGCUCCGGCCUCCUGUCGCCCGGCUCCGCGUCGUCCCCUUCCUAGGCCUCGCCGUCGUCCACCGCCGUGGUGCUCUCGGCACGGCGUGGUCAAUGUAGUCAACGACCGACUUCCAUCGAAAGAGUACUGUAUGUGGAGAGGCUAACAGCUGGGUCCACGGCAGCCGCAAGGAAGUGCCUCCUUAUUACGCGGAAAAUAAUUAUUCCUCCACCUGACAGCGGGGACCUACCGGACGGGCCACGAGUAUUUUGCGAAAAAAAUCGUUUCCCCUGACUGCUGGGACCCACCGGAUGGGCCACCGUAUUUCGCGAAAAAACAUUCCUCCCGCUGUCAGCUCAGACCCACUGGAAGUGCCUCCUUAUUACGCACAAAAAAAUGAAUACUCCCCCGGCUAGCUGGGACCCACUUGUGGGCCUACUAAGUUGACGGGGACGAAAGGCUUUCUCAACUUAGUCAAUAUGAACGAUUCUAGCUCCACUGACCGUACGAUGUCCAUCCAACGGCCGUAGUGCUUCUUCAACCUCUGGUCUUCUUGUUCCAGCCGCCCAAAGCAGCGCCGGUCAUGCCGCAUGCUCCUGCUUCCCGUGGCUGGCUGUGCUGCCGUGGACACCUCACCGCCCCCUACUAUUCCCACCGCUAGCCAGGCCCUGCGGCGACGGCAGCCUCACACCACAGUCGAACCAGUGAACCCUCAUACUCCUCUCUUCACGGGCUUCCACUGCCGCGUCUUCCCCGGCUCCGCGUCGUCCCCUUCCUAGGCCUCGUCGUCUUUCACCACCAUGGUGCUCUCCGUGCGGCAUGGUCAACGUGGUCAAGGAACGACUUCCAUCGGAAGAGUACUGUACGUGGAGAGGCUCACAGCUGGGUCCACGGCCACAACCCAGUUUUUUUGUGAUUUGCCAAGUAAGUCGCUUUGUCAGGCCUGUUGGGCUGCAAAUCUUUCAAGACGAGGAGAGCUUUCAUUCGGCUGGCCGAGAAAAUGGCCCAUCAGUAAUGAGAAAUGGCUGUAGAUUUUUAAAACACAUCAAACCGGCAAUUAGUUUCAAAUAUUUUUCUUCAUUUCAAGAUUUUAAAUUACAUUAAUUUUUAUGCGUGGAGAAUUUGUUGGAUUUUAUAUUGAUAUACAUUUAUUUUUAAAAUCAGUUUGAAUGUGAGUCGAAAUUUUGGGAUUAAAAACAGUUCGGACCGCACCGAAAUAUGCAAAAUUUCGUAUAAUUUUUUAACCGUGGCCACAAUAUGGGCUGUAAUGCUAACAAAAAGAAUAUGGGCUCCAAAAAAACCUUAAGAAUUAGCAAAUGGGCUGUAAAUUAAUAGAAAUAAUGGCAGAUGGGCUGUAUGCUGUUUUCCACAGAUUUGAGGAUUUCCCAAAAAAAGGUUGACACACAAGCAGUGACGGUUGGAUGUCCAUCAAACGGCCGUCGUGCUUCUUCAAUCUCUGCUCUUCCUGCUCCAGCCGCUCAAACAAGCACCGGCGGGACUGCCUGCUCCCUCCUUCCCACAGCCGGCUGUGCUGCCGCGCAGGCCUCACCGCCCCACCAUACUCCCAUCGCUGGCCUAGCCAUCCCUCUACUCACCCACACCUGCUGUUAUUCUCCGGCGACGGCAGACGAACCAGUAAACCCUCGUACAGUCGUACUCCCCUCCGUGUGGGAAACAACUGCCGAGUCUUCCCUGCCUCCGUGUCGUCCCCUUCCUAGGCCUUGCCAUCGGCCACCGUCGUGGUGCUCUCGGCGCGGCUUGGUCAAUGUGGUCAACGACCGACUUCCAUCGGAAGAGUACUUUGUGUGGAGAGGCUGUCAGCUGGGUCCACAGCCGCAGCAAGGAAGUGCCUCCUUAUUACAUGCAAAAUAAUUAUUCCUCCACUUGACAGCGGGGACCCAGCGGACGGGCCACCGUAUUUUGUGAAAAAAACGUUUCCUCCCUGACCGCUGGGACCCACCAGCUACACCUUCGCACGCAAGGAAGUGCGUAAGGGCAAAAAAAAGCGAUUCGCCCCCCUGACUGCUGGGACCCACCAGCUACAUCUUCACACGCAAGAAAGUGUGUCGGGGCAAAAAAAUGAUUCGCCCCCUGACUGCUGGGACCCACCAGCUACAUCUUCGCAGGCAAGGAAGUGCCUGACAGUCGGGACCCACCUGGUCGAAGCGUAUGUAGCGUUGUAAUUCUGGUCGCGAACGUGUACGUACAUACUGGUCGAUGUAGAGGCGUGCACGUGUCAUAGUAGAGGCGCACACGUAGCAUGUACAUGUACGUACAGCGGCGAGGGUGCAAGAAAGAAAAUACGGCCACAUACUUACAUAUGGGCAGGGUCUCGAACGCCUACUCGCGCAUACGUACAUGGCUGGGUCAGAACAGAGAAAUAGCAUCAUCGUCGUGUUCAUGGGAGGCAACGGAAUGCGUCGUGUUCAUGGGGAGGCAACGGAAUGCGUCGUGUUCAUCGGGAGGCAACGGAACGCGUGGGAGCCAACUGGCUUGGACGGAACAGGCGAUGGAAACGAGGCAUGGCGUACCGCACAACGAAGGAAACAGACCUCCUACGUUCGGAACGGGGUCCUGUCGAUCGGGAGUGGUGUGGCGUACCGCAAAACGGAGGAAACAGACCUCCUACAGUCGAAACGGGGGUCCUGUUCAUCGGGAGGGGUGUGGCGUACCGCAAAAUGGAGGAAACGUACCUCCUACGGUCGAAAUGGGGGUCCUGUUCAUCGGGAGGGGUGUGGCAUACCGCAAAACGGACGAAACGGACCUCCUACGGUCGAAACGGGGGUCCUGUUCAUCGGGAGGGGUGUGGCGUACCGCAAAACGGGACUCCACUGGAUACUGUUCAUCUCCAUCGUCGACCUCCUCCAGCCUCCACGGGCUACUGUCGACCUCCUCUAGCCUCCACGGGCUCCUGUUAAUCCAGCCUCCACCGCGCGCUACUCCACCGGCUACUGUUUAACCACCCCUCCACGAGCACCCCUCCACCGUCUACUGUUCAUCCAGCCCUCCACACCACGAGGUCUUGUUCAACCACCCCUCCACCGUCUACUGUUCAUCCAGCCCUCCACACCAUGGGGUCCUAUUCAUCCAGAGGCAACGCCACCGCUCAAUGUUCAUCCACCCCCCUGCAAUGCUCACUGUUCAUCCCAGAGGCAGCAUCGAUCGACUUCAGUUAGCAGCACUAGUGAAGGAAUCGCUUCAUCGGGUUCAGUUAACAGCCAUCAAUCGAUCGCUCGGGCUUAGUAACGCGUAGCCUGUAGUGCAAUCGCUCGGGUUCAGUUAGAGCCCAAUGCCUCGCUCGGGUUCAGUUAGAGCCAACGCCUCGCACACACGCGCGUACGUACGAGAGAAACGCGCAUCGCUCGGCCCCCGACCUCCCACCGUAACCGGCAACUCCCUGAAAUUUUCCUCCCCCUCGCUUCUACCACGGUUUUUUCCGUCAUGGACGGCCCAAAGAAUGUCAUGCAGCUGCGUCUCCGGCCCACCCAGGACGAGAAGGCCAUUUUCUGUCAUGAUUUUUUGUCGUAGAAGUAGGAGCCCACCACAUCUAUGAUGAUACCGGGUUUUGUCACAAUUAUCGUCAUAGAAGUGUCAUAUGUAUGACAGAAAAAAAUUUCAUUCAGCCCAAAAUGUCACGGAUGUGUCUUUUUUUAUAGUGAGGAUGAAUGGAGAUGAGCUCAUAUUAUCUGGACCAAUGAGUCAAUUGGAGACGGACCGAUGGAUUCAGAACAUGGAGGAUCACAUGAAGAAUAACACUAUAGCCGAAAAGGAUAUGUCCCAUUAUGCUCUUCAGUGCUUUGAGAGAGGUGUCACUACUUGGUGGAGGAUGUACCAAACCAUCAAUGGAUGGCCAAGAGUAAACCAAUUGGGAAGAAUUUAAGUUGACUAUGCUAAAGACUCGGCUUGUGUCCCAGAAAUUGAAAGCCUUAUGUAAAUGAUAUGAAGAAACCUUGUGCAUGCAAGCUCUGUGGAGAAAUAGGACACGACCAUAAAUAACACAAGGAUGAAUGCCCACUUUGCGAAGAAAGUCACCUAGCUAAAGAAUGCCCAACUAGGCAGAUUACUUGUUUCUUGUGUGAAGGGACUACCCACUACCCUGCUCAGUGUCACAUUUACCCCAUGGUACAAAGAACCAUCCAGCUGAAGAAAGAAGCAAUAAGGAGCCCUCAUGGAAAUUUUAGGAGAACCUGUGAUGAAGGAAGAGGUGGAGGACACACCUGAAGAAGACCCAAUUAAACCCUGCACCAAGUCAUGCUAUUCAUGUGGAGAAGAAGGACACAUCUCCCAAAAUUGUCUGAAUGGGGAUCUAGUAGAAUUCCUGGUAGAGGAAGUAGAGUAUGACUCACACGAAAUAGAAGCCCUGAUUGGAACGGAAAAGUCUAGGAAGAGAAGUAGAUUGGAUUCUAGGAAGGACAUUAGCCAUAUCACAUGUUUUAGGUGCAAGGAGUCAGGGCACUACUUCAGCAGUUGCCGAAAAAGGAAGUCGGGGACCCAAGGAGGAUAUGUAAUCAUGAGGAAACCUCGAGACUUGUCAGAAGUAAUAUAUUUCUUCUGUAAUGAAGCAGGGCACUCUGCAAGAGAUUGUCCCAAGGAGAGGGAGACUUGUGCUAAAUAGUUGAGUUAGCAACAAAAGAAAUGUAGUAGUAUUAGUGGGAACAAUUCUUUUAUAUUGAGAUGUUAAGUUGAGGCAUGUAAUGGAAAUGCAGGAGAUUGUAAUAAUUUGAGAAUCAAUGAAGUUAGCGGUGAUUUGGAUUGUAUGAGUUGUUACCCUAUGAAGAAAGAUUUUGACCAUUUUCGAGGAUAUGAGAAAUAUGGUCUAUGGAUGAGUUUGUGCAUUUCAAGGGUGGUAGUACCCUGUAAGGAGAAUUGAACCCUGGAAAAGAAAAUGAUAUUCCAUGGUGUGAACUUCAGACAAAAUAAGUACGAGUUUUAUCUCGAUAUGUGGGACACCCCAAGAAUAUGAAGGGAUGAAGUACUAUUUGGAUAUAAAGGAGGUGUAAUGUUGGUAAUAUGGUGCAAUUGUAACUCCAUGAUGAGUCUGAGUAGUCACAUCUUAGUUUGGUACCAAUAGAAGGUAGGGAGACAGUACAAUUGGAUGGAUUUAAGAAUGCUAAGAAGUUGGAUGUUUGAAUAAUGAUCAGUUGUCCUGAGGAUGAGUUCAAGGUUUACAAGUGAUGAGAUGGGUCAUAACCCACAGGCCCCAGGACCUGCUAAGAAGCAAGCACACUCUUGCUGAAGGAAAAACCCUGGAAGAGGAUAUGACUUUGUCAAACAGACGACCCUAUAGGAGUAUCGUAAAACCUGAGAGUUGUGAAGGAACGAUAGAUGUUUGUUUUGCUUGCAGAAUCAAUGGAUUUAUCCGAACUUAGUCCGUCGACAAGAGAAAUUCUGCAAUGCUUGUGAGGAUGACCGAGUGAUAGAAUGCGAGAUUCGCUAAACCAUAUACAAGGUAAUGAUUUGGGUGCGGGAUGGAUUGAUCACCAUACCGACUUACUCUUAUUAUUCGUCUUGCUAUAUGGGAUGGUAAAUCUGAGUGACUUAUCGAUAGUAGAGAGACAGCGAUAUUAAACCUUGUUUGAACCUUAGAAUGUAUGACAAUUAUUCCCCUUGUACAAGGCAACUGUUGCCAAUCAUAGGAUAUACGGUGAGAAUGAAGCCCAAACCCAUUUCCUGCAGGAGAAACCAUAAAUUGUUUGAUGUCCAUCAUGAGAUAUCGAUAGUUGUUUAGUAUUGGUGCUAGACCUGUCAGCUAAGAAGACCCAGUCACAGGAGGACCGUACCAAGAUAAAAGGACACAAGAAUUGAGGAAAAAUGUUAUGCCCCACCGGAAAUGGCUAGAGAAGGAAUUAUCCUGAAGAUCUGAGAAGAUCGACACUGUCAACAAUAAGGAUGGAGUGUAUAAAUUUUGAUGGAACCGUAAUAAUGCUUCUAAGGGUGGUAGCACCCCAGACCCCCUGUGAUGAUCGAUGGAUUUUGAGAAGACCCCGACCCUAACCUAUUUCUUUCUAGCCUCUCCGAAUCUCAAGGACGAGAUUCAUUUUAACGGUGGUAGGUUUGUAACAUCCCAAAAUUCUAAAUUUUGGAAUGUUAUAUUAAAUAGAUAGUUUUGAUUGAUUGUAUGAUUACUUGUGUGAAAUUGAGUGAAUUUUGAAACUUUUUGAAAGUUAAAUGAGAGAGAAUAAAAGGAAUUUCCCAAACUUUCAUUUUUGCAUUUAUGAUCUCCAUGAACUCAAAUUCUUUCCAAAUACAAAACCCUACAGAGAAGAUGAAAUGACUUCUUCCAUUUAAAUAAAUGAAAAGGGUUUUUGGAAAUAUUUGAAUUUCAUUUGGAAAUAUUUCAAACUCAGAAACUUUAUGCAACUCAAUGAUUUUCAUGAGAUAAGAUAAAAUGACUUCUUCAAAACAUAUGAAAUAUGAGUUGAAAGUUUAAAAGAAUCAAAUUGAAAGUCUCUUUGAAAUUAUUUUCAAUUUGGAGUUAUUUAGUUUUUAUUCAAAUUAUUUUUUUACACAAAUAAAAUAUAUGGAAAUUAGGGUAAAAUGAUUCCCUACAUUAGAAAAAUGGAGAUAAAUAAAUUAGAAAUUACUUUAGUAUUUUUAAAAUGAUUUUUAUGAGGUUUUAUUGCAACAGUCGCACUGUUUGCUUUAUUUGAAUUUGUACUGAUUUUAUUUGACGCUAUAAAAAUAUUCAAGUUGUAGAAAAUCAUUUUCUGAAAAUUAUGAUGUAUAAUAUGCCUAUGUAUAAUUAUUUUUAUUUUCUGUUGUACAGUUUUCCUUUUUUGUUUCUAUUUAAAAAAACUGCGCGUACGACAAAUAUCUAACUAUCGCCCACAUGCGGAGCAUAGUACCAGCAGGGCGCCCUAUCAUUUUAUUUUCUCCUACAUGGGCUAGGCUCAGCUGGCCAUAUUUCUUCCCCAUAUUUUUUUCUCCAUAGUUUUUCUUUUUCUUUUCAAUUGCAAAAAAGAAAAAAAACUGCAGCGCCGUGUACAUGCGCGCGUGGCCGGCCGUGGUGAUUUUUAGCCCACGCGGUUUCCCGUUUAUUUUAUUUGUUCGUUUAUGUUUAGUUCCACAUUGCCUAGCCUUUGACCUCUAAGCCUCUUUUCCACUUAUAAAUAUAGAACCAUAAAGCCACCAAAAAUCAUCCGAUUUGGGUUAAAUCAAUAUAUUUUGAUUUGACUAGAUUUAUUAAAAAAAUAUUUUUCUCCUCUCCGGCGGGACUUCUGGAAGUUGUCUCCUCUCUCAUAAGUCGUCUUUUCUCUACCUUAUAAAGGUAUCUUUCUUCAUAGUUUUUUACUUUCAUAGUUUAUUGUGUAAAUAUUUUUCUUCCGUAAAACAGCAUGGUCCUGAUUUUUUAAAUAGCUAUAACUUUUUACUCGUUCGUUUAAAUUAGACGAAAUCAACGCCAAUAUUUUCGUCUUGAUUCCACUUAUCUAAUGAAUCUAUCAAAUAAACCUUUUGCAACUUUCAAAUUUCGAAAUUUGUUGAGAUUCAUACUCAAAUUUCUUUUGAUCAUAUCUUUUUAUCCGUAACUUCAUUUUAGUUGAUUCUUUUUGCAAAUCGAAGCUCUUGACCUAAACUUUCUGAUAAGGCCAAAUCACCUAAUUUUGGUACUGUUAGAAAUUGUUUCUGUUGCAAGAGUUAAUUGUAUCUUUCCGAAGCUUUUUGAGAUCUUUUCUUUGAUUCUUUUGCAUGAGUGCUUAUGUAUGCAAUUGCUUGUUUACUAUAGAUUGAUCGGAGUGUGACGAGUAGAUCUAUCAUGAGUUAUGAGUGCGAAUCAUCUUCAUCAACAGUACAAGGCAAGUUCACACGUUGAUCAUAUCCCUUUCAUACCCAAUUUUUAUGCAUUAGUUUCAACCUCAAACAUUGCAUGGUUAGGAAUUGGUAACAUGUGGGUAGUGGGAAGUAGUUGAUGAGGUAGGAACCUAUUGUCCUGCAUUCAAACCUUGGGAGUUCCUCUACCUUAUGCUUAUACUAUUAUGCUAUGCUCGUAGACGUGGUUUGAUUUGAGUGAUUCAUGACAUAUGUGAGAGUUAUUAUUAAUGGUUAACUUAAAGUGGCUACUUUAAUACACAUCUGGGUGGAAUGGUAGGGGCACCCUGGAGUACCCAGUGGUUUGCCCGGGCACCUGGAGAACCCAGUAUUUGCCCGAGGGAAUCUCGGAGGACCCAUGUGAUUACCCUAUGGAAUGCCACCCAGGCUCAAAGGGAUCAUAAGAUUAUUCAUGCUAGAAACUUCCGUGUGCAGCCACAAGCCAUUAUGGGCUCUGACAUAGUUGAGUAUGUUGCGUGAGCUCUUGAAGAGGUAGACUAGGAGAUGUAGGGGGUGUAGGUGGUACUGUCUACCCAGAGUAAAGAGUUAAUGCUUCUGAAAGACUGCGUCUCGACCAUCCGUUUCUCAAACACCAUGUAGUACGAGAAAUCCAACGGAGGCGAUCGAGUCUUGUGGGGAAAGUGCGCAAACCUCUGCAGCGUGUACAAACUAAUCAUGGUUAGCCUUUGUAACACCGGGAAAAUUAUGCUACAGUAAACCUCUGUUAAUGGUGCCAUGUCAUCAUGUUACUGUUGCUAAGGUUCGCUUGAUCCAAAUCACAAUUCAAAUUCAAAUUCAAAUUAAAGUCCAAAAAUCAAAUUUCUCAAACAUGCAAACUAAAAUGUUCAAAGUGUGGCAAAUAUUCCAUAACCAAUUAUGGUGCUGACCCAACAUUUUUUGUAAAAGUAUUUAAGUGCUCUUUGGUGAAUAAAACAGUGACAAAAACAAUUAUUAAAUGCCUUUAAAUAAUAAACAAAUAUAAAACUAUUUUAUUAUUGUGUCAAAUUAAUUAUGGCAGUAGCCUAAGUGGUAAUACUAAUUUUGGGGCUAGGUUUAUAUUUUAAAACUAAAAAUAGAUACAUGAAAGGAAACUUAAAUGAAAACAAAAAUAAAUAAUUAAAAGGAGAAGCCCCCCCCCCCCACUGUUCCCCCUGGGCCUUGGCCCAACUGGCGAUUGGCCAGCCCACCACCGCCGUUUCCGUCACUGAACCUUAAGUGUGUUUAACGCGGAGGUGCUGUCCGUUCAGCACUUGGUCAUCGGUGAUUUGUAUCACGGCGAGUACGACUCCAUCAUCACCGUUCCCUUGAACGCUUCCGCACGCGAUCUACAAGUGAUAUGUAGAUGCAAUCUCUCUCCCAUGACUCGUUGCUUAGAUGAACUCAUAGAUGGAUCUUGGUGAAACCGUAGGAAAUUUUUUAUUUUCUGCAACAUUCCCCAACAGGGGGCUCGUGGCUAGCACUGAUGGCCGCCACGGCCAUGGCACACGCCGUGGCGCCCAUCCAUCGGCGCCUCCCCCUACUUAAGUCGACGCCUCUUCCCCAGACCGAACCCUAAUGAGCCUCUCUCCACACUCACCCUCCCCGCGCCUCUCCUCUCCCCUCCUCAGAUCCGCCGCGAUGCGCUCGCCCGAGCGGGCUCGUCGUCAUUGCCUUGGCGUGCGCAUGGCCACCGUCCAUCGUUGGUCGUUCUGCGAUGUCUAGAAGCACGCAGCCUUCGUCUUCAUCUUCCUCGCCAUCGGAUCGAAGCCCAGGAGCACCGCCAACGCCGUCUUCUUCUUCCCCUUCGUACGCUUCGGUCGCUGGCCCUCUCCGUCGACUCUGACCGCCCUAUGCGCUUCCAAGCCCUCAACAGGCCUCCAUGUGCCUCCACGGUGAGCGCACCGUCCAGCCCCUCUCCCCUCUUACCUCCUCGUAAGCCAUAGCCCACCUUGCCGUUGUUGCUGGCCCUGGCCACAGUCGCCACGGCCGCGUCCGUCGAUGCGUUCCCCAACACCCCCCUGCUACGCUCGGGCCGCAUCAUGGCAGCUCCAGCCGCCCGCCCGCGCCGCUUCCCGGCUGCGCCCUGCUCGACCUGCUGCCACUGCCGGCCCCUAACGCUUGCAGCUGGCGCUGGGCGUCGUCAUCGUGGACGCCCUCGACGUCGCCACUGUAGCCAUAAUCCCCGUAGCUCGCGUACGAACCCCACAGCAAAGUCCUCAUGCUCCUAGGAGUCGAAUGCAGGCACACACGUGCCUCCCCAAGCCCCAUGGCCACGGAUCCGUUGGCGCCAACGCCGCCAUCGUGGAUGUCCUGCUCGACUCCGGCCGCCUCCGCUCGUUCCGGCGGGCUACCCGGUCCCGCUCACUACUGCUGGUGCUGCCCGCCUCCGCCGGCGGCCCGCGCUGCUUCCCCCCGACUAGUUGUUGCCGUUGCUGCGUUCCAUUGCAGCCGUCGCACAACUGCUCGCUGAUGGCAGCCUCGCCUGCCCUACUCACCCCCUUGCCGCUCCUCCUGCUGAAGGCAUCACCACGCCCCUGCUUUGCCUUGCGGCAACCUGUGCCCGCUGCUGUUGCCGCCUGCUACCACGGCUCUACGGAUGCAUCCUACUGCUGGUCGCUGACGCCGAUGCUAGCUAUUGUCGCUGCUAUUUUUCUGCUACUUGAUGUUGCCUGUAGUUGCCUUGCUGCUGCGAAUUACUGUAGCUACGUCUAGCUUUAUGAAUUUUAUAUUGACUAACCCCUUGACUGCCCCUAAACUGUGGUUAAACAAGUGUUAACAGGGGUAAAAAAAUUAUAGGAAGGUAGUACACUUGACAAUGCUCAAACGUGUCCAUUGGACCAAAUCCAUUUGCUGCAUAUAUUAAUUCUUACAAAAAUCAAAAAUUGAUAUCUUCUGCUAACAGAGAACAAUUUUAACCUCUCCUUGUGCUGUGUGUGGUGUGUGUGUGUGGCCGGCUUGGCCACGGCCCACUUCCGUGCGUGGCUGGCCCUUGUGUUAAUUAGGACUAAUUUAGUUUAGGAGUAUUUUAGUAUUAGUUUAGUCUUUAGAGCAAAUGACAUGUGGCCCCAUUUGACCCUGUUGACCAGUUAAUAGUUGAUUGGUCAAUUGCUGACUGGACACCCCUGGACCCCACCAGUCAGCCUCUGUCGCUAGCACAUGGCUGGGUACACUUGGUAUUUUCUGUUUAUUUGCAAAUUAAAAUAAAUGCCUAAAUCAUUUAAAACUUUGAUAAAAUCAUAGAAAAUAAACUGUAGCUCGGAUGAAAAGGUUUUCUACAUGAAAGUUGCUCAGAAUUUUGAGACGAAUCUGGAUACGCCCUCCGUUCGUCUGUCACACGACCCUAGCAUAGCAAACGUUGAACUUUUCCCUCCGGUUCAUCUGUUUGACAGACGACCGGAACUGGGAAAACUUUCCCGGAUGUCUCCCCCUUCGCCAGUAUCGCCUAGCGCUGCGUUAGAACACCUCUAGCUUCGCUUUUUUUGUCAUGUUAUGCAUAUGUUUGCAUGUAUUUAAUGUUUCUUCCCCCUCUUCUCUCCGAUAGACCCUGAAACUGCUGCUGAUGCCACCGUGAUCGACUACGUCGAUGACGACCCUCCUUGUCUGAGCAACCAGGAAAGCCCCCCCUUUGAUCAUCCCGAUAUCGCCCAUUCCAUUCUCUCAUGCUUGCAUUAGAUUUUGCUACUAUAUUUGAUUGCUCCUAUUCUGAUGCAUAGCCUGCUUUUGUACCUGCUAAUAAUACACUAUGGUUUGGGUAUUUGUUCCGAGUUGGCCUUUGGCCUUUACGCACCAACCACCACGUGAGAAUAGUUAUGGGCCUCGACGUCGUGGUAUCAGCCGAAGCUUUGUCAGCCGUCCAGUUCAGCAUUGCUGCACGGCCUGGUCGGCGCCCUAGUGGAGGUGGCCCGGAUCGCCCUGCGCGCAACGAUCCGGAGUGCAACGAGCGAUGGGCGCAGACCCCAGAGUGCUUAGGAUGUAGACCGGCGGGGACCUCUCUGCUGAGCCUAGGUAGGGCUGUGACGUGUUGAUCUUCCGAGGCUGGACAUUGACCCAGAAAAGUGUGUCCGUCCAAAGUGAUCGAGCGGGUUGGAAAACGUGGUGCACCCCUGCAGGGAAGAUUAUCUAUUAAUAGCUAUGUCCACGGUAAUGGACGUUCAGACUUAUAUCUUGAUCUUAUACAACUACAAAUGGAUACUUGAGAUAUGUGGCUCCGGGAUUGCUUUCUCGCAGGGAGUCAAGGAAGGAUCUCUGGGCAUUAAUGUUACAACAUGUUUGUUAAUUAUAAACGGCUAUUAUUUACUCUUCUACAUGCUGCAAGAUGCUUAGAGCUUCUUGAAGAUGCUAGUCUUCGAUAGGCUAGGCCUUCCCCUCUAUUCUAGCAUUUUGCAGUUCCGUCCACAGAUACAGCCCUUCCAUUUGAUACGAAUGCAUACUUAGUAUAGAUCUGAUGCUUGCGAGUACUUCAGAUGAGUACUCACGGUUGCUUUGCUCCUCCUUUCCCCCUUCUUUCUUCUUUCUGGUUGUUGCAACUAGAUGGUGGAUCCCAGGAGCCAAAUGAUGCCACCCCCGGCGACUACUACUACAUGGAGGCCGCCGAAGACCAGGAGUAGUUAGGAGGUCCCAGGCAGGAGGCCUUGCCUCUUCGAUCGUGUUGAUUUCGUGCUAGCCUUUUUAAGGCAUCCUUGUU
This 14697-nucleotide long non-coding RNA is filed under the name Triticum aestivum (bread wheat). Its description in RNAcentral is "long non-coding RNA (TAES_LNC011873)". The record is from RNAcentral. Lineage: Eukaryota; Viridiplantae; Streptophyta; Magnoliopsida; Poales; Poaceae.